Molecule: ribosomal RNA, 253 nt
Filed under: uncultured bacterium
Lineage: Bacteria
Description: partial 16S ribosomal RNA
Rfam family: Bacterial small subunit ribosomal RNA
Source: RNAcentral
UACGGAGGAUGCAAGCGUUAUCCGGAAUGAUUGGGCGUAAAGCGUCCGCAGGUGGCAGUGUAAGUCUGCUGUCAAAGGUCAGGGCUCAACCCUGAACAGGCAGUGGAAACUACACAGCUAGAGUGCGGUGGGGGCAGAGGGAAUUCCCAGUGUAGCGGUGAAAUGCGUAGAGAUUGGGAAGAACACCGGUGGCGAAAGCGCUCUGCUAGGCCGUAACUGACACUCAUGGACGAAAGCUAGGGGAGCGAAUGGG